This 460-nucleotide ribosomal RNA is filed under the name uncultured bacterium. RNAcentral's name for it is "partial 16S ribosomal RNA". It matches the Rfam family "Bacterial small subunit ribosomal RNA", at positions 338 to 795 of the family's 1533-position model. The record is from RNAcentral.
CCUACGGGAGACAGCAGUGAGGAAUAUUGGUCAAUGGGCGCGAGCCUGAACCAGCCAAGUAGCGUGAAGGAUGACUGCCCUACGGGUUGUAAACUUCUUUUAUAAAGGAAUAAAGUGAGGCACGUGUGCCUUUUUGUAUGUACUUUAUGAAUAAGGAUCGGCUAACUCAUGGCUAGCAGACGCGGUAAUACGGAGGAUCCGAGCGUUAUCCGGAUUUAAUGGGUUUAAAGGGAGCGUAGAUGUGUUGUUAAGUCCGUUGUGAAAGUUUGCGGCUCAAACCUAACAUUGCAAUUGAUACUGGCAGCCUUGAGUACAGUAGAGGUAGGCGGAAUUCGUUGUGUAGCGGUGAAAUGCUUAGAUAUCACGAAGAACUCCGAUGGCGAAGGCAGCCUACUAAACUUCCACUGACAUUGAUGCUCGAAAGUGUGGGUAUCAAACAGGAUUAGAUACCCUAGUAGUC